Molecule: ribosomal RNA, 472 nt
Filed under: uncultured bacterium
Lineage: Bacteria
Description: bacterial SSU rRNA
Rfam family: Bacterial small subunit ribosomal RNA
Source: RNAcentral
UGGGGAAUAUUGGACAAUGGGCGAAAGCCUGAUCCAGCCAUGCCGCGUGUGUGAAGAAGGUCUUCGGAUUGUAAAGCACUUUAAGUUGGGAGGAAGGGCAGUUACCUAAUACGUAUCUGUUUUGACGUUACCGACAGAAUAAGCACCGGCUAACUCUGUGCCAGCAGCCGCGGUAAUACAGAGGGUGCAAGCGUUAAUCGGAAUUACCGGGCGUAAAGCGCGUGUAGGCGGGUCGUUAAGUUGGGGGUGAAAUCCCGAGGCUCAACCUCGGAACUGCCUUCAAAACUGGCGACCUGGACCUAAGUAGAGGCAAGUGGAAUUGCGAGUGUAGAGGUGAAAUUCGUAGAUAUUCGCAGGAACACCAGUGGCGAAGGCGACUUGCUGGACUUAUGGUGACGCUGAGACGCGAAAGCGUGGGGAGCAAACAGGAUUAGAUACCCCCGUAGUCCCUGAGCGGGCUGGCAAGGCGCAU